This 404-nucleotide ribosomal RNA is filed under the name uncultured bacterium. Its description in RNAcentral is "bacterial SSU rRNA". It matches the Rfam family "Bacterial small subunit ribosomal RNA", at positions 976 to 1380 of the family's 1533-position model. The record is from RNAcentral.
UGGGCUUGACAUAUACAAGAUCGCGCCAGAGAUGGUGUUUCCCUUGUGGCUUGUAUACAGGUGGUGCAUGGUUGUCGUCAGCUCGUGUCGUGAGAUGUUGGGUUAAGUCCCGCAACGAGCGCAACCCUUGUCUUAUGUUGCCAGCACGUGAUGGUGGGGACUCGUAAGAAACUGCCGGGGUUAACUCGGAGGAAGGUGGGGAUGACGUCAAAUCAUCAUGCCCCUUAUGUCCAGGGCUUCACACAUGCUACAAUGGUCGGUACAGUGGGUUGCCAGUCCGUGAGGGCGAGCUAAUCCCGCAAAGCCGGUCUCAGUUCGGAUCGGGGUCUGCAACUCGACCCCGUGAAGUCGGAGUCGCUAGUAAUCGCAGAUCAGCAACGCUGCGGUGAAUACGUUCCCGGGCC